GCCAGCAGCCGCGGGAACACCGGCGGCCCGAGUGGUGAUCGUGAUUAUUGGGUCUAAAGGGUCCGUAGCCGGUUUGGUCAGUCCUCCGGGAAAUCUGAUAGCUCAACUAUUAGGCUUUCGGGGGAUACUGCCAGACUUGGAACCGGGAGAGGUAAGAGGUACUACAGGGGUAGGAGUGAAAUCUUGUAAUCCCUGUGGGACCACCUGUGGCGAAGGCGUCUUACCAGAACGGGUUCGACGGUGAGGGACGAAAGCUGGGGGCACGAACCGGAUUAGAUACCCGGGUAGUCCCAGCCGUAAACGAUGCUCGCUAGGUGUCAGGCAUGGCGCGACCGUGUCUGGUGCCGCAGGGAAGCCGUGAAGCGAGCCACCUGGGGAGUACGGCCGCAAGGCUGAAACUUAAAGGAAUUGGCGGGGGAGCACAACAACGGGUGGAAGCCUGCGGUUUAAUUGGACUCAACGCCGGACAACUCACCGGGGGCGACAGCAAUAUGUAGGCCAAGCUGAAGACUUUGCCUGAAUCGCUGAGGAGUGGUGCAUGG
This 542-nucleotide ribosomal RNA is filed under the name uncultured archaeon. RNAcentral's name for it is "bacterial SSU rRNA". It matches the Rfam family "Archaeal small subunit ribosomal RNA", at positions 457 to 997 of the family's 1478-position model. The record is from RNAcentral.